CCUAGAGUAGUCGGGGCUUUGCAUGCCUAUCUCUACCCAUGUCUUUUGCGUACUCUUCGUUUCCUCGUGCGGUCAGCCCGCCGAUUGGACAACCUAAACCAUUUUGUAGUUGCAAUCAGCGUCUGAAAAUAAUCUAAUAGUUA
This 143-nucleotide unclassified non-coding RNA is filed under the name soil metagenome. RNAcentral's name for it is "partial internal transcribed spacer 1". The record is from RNAcentral.